GGGCCCGUAGCUCAUCUGGUAGAGCGCCGCUUUUGCACAGCGGAGGUGAGGAGUUCGAGUCUCCUCGGGUCCA
This is a non-coding RNA of Candidatus Moranbacteria bacterium RBG_13_45_13, 73 nucleotides long. NCBI's taxonomy places the organism in Bacteria, Candidatus Moraniibacteriota. The record is from Rfam.